Bombus huntii is the source of this 878-nucleotide long non-coding RNA. RefSeq lists it as uncharacterized. Lineage: Eukaryota; Metazoa; Arthropoda; Insecta; Hymenoptera; Apidae. The transcript has 4 exons. The record is from RefSeq and is a predicted model, not a curated record.
AAAGAUCUAAUUAAAACUAAAAGAUGCAUUAUGUAGUAUUAUUGAAUGAUCAAUUAUAUGAUGUUGAUAUGUUGUUAAAGCUGAGCUAUGAUAAUAAUGAACAUAUUAAAUAAUUUAUUCUAAAAAUAAUGCCUUGAUAUAGAAAUUUAUUCUUGUAGAUAUGAGGUUGACAAGAUUGUCCGUAGGAAAUACCAGCGCAUAGACAAUCAGAGAAAUAUAAAGUCUAUGGAGAGAAAUGACUUUUCAAGGUAACCUUCACAGUUAAGAAUAGUUACAAAAUCAGCUGAUUCUUACGACAUUUACUGCUCGGAGGCAUGUGAGCUGUGAUUCUUCUGUAAACGCUGUAAGGUUGACUAGCGUUUACGAAUGCUGGUGCACCAUCAUGAAUUACUUUUGUCAUCAAAAAUUCCUCAUUGGUUUUUCCAGAAGUUGCAGAGUACACUUCAGGAGUUAAAGGUCGCAUGGACUUUGCUUUCAAGGCAAUUGCUUUUGAAUAUAUCAAAGGUGGUAACACAAAGACUAAUGGACCAGUCAAGGAUCCCCCAAUCAGUGCCAUCACAAUAUCAAAUCUAGGCACAGAUUCUCCUACAGCUACUCCAAGAAAGACAAUAGCUGAUCUUAUGGCACAUCUUUUCCAUCCAAAAUCUGUGAUAAAAAGCUGAAUGACCAAGAGCACUAGAAAGACAUAGCUGAAGAGCUGCAAAAAGAACAGCAGCACUCACUGUGAAGUUUCCUGGAAUUACUUGCAGAACAUUGGCUGUUGUACUACCUCCAUACUUCCAAACAGUUAAAAUUGUAGUAACAAUAAAUAAUGAACUGCUGACUGUAACGAACAAUCAAUGUAGUCAUCAUAAUAUAUAGAAUAAUAGUUCAAUUUA